CGGUGAGCAACACUGAAACCGCACACGUAUCGACACGUUAUUCUGGGUGCCCCUCGGGGUUGGAUAACGGGAUGCGUGGAGGCUCAACC
RNAcentral lists this small RNA (89 nucleotides) under Halopseudomonas yangmingensis. Its description in RNAcentral is "Pseudomonas yangmingensis t44 RNA". It matches the Rfam family "t44 RNA". Rfam says of the family: This family consists of a number of bacterial RNA genes of between 135 and 170 bases in length. Lineage: Bacteria; Pseudomonadati; Pseudomonadota; Gammaproteobacteria; Pseudomonadales; Pseudomonadaceae. The record is from RNAcentral.